UAGCGCGCAGGGAAGGCUGGUCACCCCACCCUAAUCUUGUUAUGCAAAUAGGCUUCCCACUUGGCAGGGGCCGUCUUGUCCACUCGUUUCUGUAAACAUGGGUGGCAAAAAGAGAAGAUGGAGCUGCCAUUUAGAACAUGCCUAAUCCCAGCUUCAUCUUGCUGAGCAAAAAUGAAGGAGCCUGGACCCAACUUUGUUACUGUGAGAAAGGGUCUUCAUUCAUUCAAGAUGGCAUUUGUUAAGCACCUACUGUGAGUAGAUGAUCUCCUGUCAAAGACAGUUAACAAAUCCUCGGAAUAUUGCUUCAUGUACAGUUAUUGGAGAUGAGUAACUUACAUUCUCUUAAUUGUAAUGGUUCCUUGGAAAGUCAUCGUGGAAAAUGAAGGCUGGCUCAUACAUUUUCCCAGACAGGAAUUUGGCUGCCAACAGGGAAUUCUAAACAACUAAAAACUCCAGAUGAUGAAUGCACAACAUAAUGAUGGUUAAAUUAAAAAAAAAAAAGAGCACGACAAACCUUGGAAAUCAAGAAAGUUCUGGAAUGAUGAAGCUGUUCAUGCCAAGACCGAAAGUGCUGGCCCAGUAUGAGUCCAUUCAGUUCAUGCCGUGACAAUUUUCUUGGAACUCCUUUUUAUUGUUAGUUCUCACUUGUUUCCAUAUUUAGUGAAUGUACAUUUAAUUGCAAAGCUGUCAUUAAUAAAAAUUCUUAUAGUACCUCA
This 716-nucleotide long non-coding RNA is filed under the name Homo sapiens (human). Its description in RNAcentral is "Down syndrome critical region 8". The record is from RNAcentral. Lineage: Eukaryota; Metazoa; Chordata; Mammalia; Primates; Hominidae.